UGGGGAAUAUUGCACAAUGGGCGAAAGCCUGAUGCAGCGACGCCGCGUGAGGGAUGACGGCCUUCGGGUUGUAAACCUCUUUCAGCAGGGACGAAGCGCAAGUGACGGUACCUGCAGAAGAAGCACCGGCUAACUACGUGCCAGCAGCCGCGGUAAUACGUAGGGUGCAAGCAUUGUCCGGAAUUACUGGGCGUAAAGAGUUCGUAGGCGGUUUGUCGCGUCGUUUUUGAAAACCAGCAGCUCAACUGCUGGCUUGCAGGCGAUACGGGCAGAGUUGCGUACUGCAGGGGCGGCUGGAAUUCCUGGUGUAGCGGUGAAAUGCGCAGAUAUCAGGAGGAACACCGGUUGCAAAGGCGGCUCUCUGGGCAGUAACUGACGCUGAUGAACGAAAGCGUGCGUAGCGAUCAGG
This 409-nucleotide ribosomal RNA is filed under the name Actinomycetes bacterium. RNAcentral describes it as "Actinobacteria bacterium partial 16S ribosomal RNA". It matches the Rfam family "Bacterial small subunit ribosomal RNA", at positions 355 to 776 of the family's 1533-position model. The record is from RNAcentral. Lineage: Bacteria; Bacillati; Actinomycetota; Actinomycetes.